GGAGGACAGGCAGUCAGCGAAUACCGGGCAAUGGGGGGAACCGGGACCCAUCCAUGCCGAGUGAAGGAUGAAGUAUUUCGGUAUGUAACUUCGAGAGAAUAUGGUAGUAUUAAUGACGGUACGAUUGAUAAGUUCGCGGCUAAUCUAGCGUGCCAGCAGCCGCGGUAAUAGGGGGGGAGCAGGCGUGUGUUCGAAUUUACUGGGCGUAAAGGGGGCGUAGGCGGCGCAACAAGUCACUUGUGAAAUCUCCGGGCUUAACCCGGAGCGGCCAAGUGAUACUGUCGUGCUAGAGUGCGGAAGGGGCUACUGGAAUUCUCGGUGUAGCGGUGAAAUGCGUAGAUAUCGAGAGGAACACCUGCGGCGAAGGCGGGUAGCUGGGCCGACACUGACGCUGAGGCGCGAAAGCCAGGGGAGCACAACGGGAUUUAAGAUACCCCGGUAGUCCUGGCCCUAAACGAUGCUAUGCUUGGUGUGGCGGGUAUCGAUCCCUGCCGUGCCGAAGCUAACGCAUUAAGCAUUCCGCCUGGGGAGUACGGUCGCCAAGGACUGAAACUCAAAGGAAUUG
Molecule: ribosomal RNA, 565 nt
Filed under: uncultured bacterium
Lineage: Bacteria
Description: bacterial SSU rRNA
Rfam family: Bacterial small subunit ribosomal RNA
Source: RNAcentral